Felis catus (domestic cat) is the source of this 3146-nucleotide long non-coding RNA. RefSeq lists it as uncharacterized. NCBI's taxonomy places the organism in Eukaryota, Metazoa, Chordata, Mammalia, Carnivora, Felidae. The record is from RefSeq and is a predicted model, not a curated record. The transcript has 2 exons.
CAAAGUAAAAAAGGAAUAGGUGCUGUGUUACAGUCCUUAGGGAACUCUGUGAGCAAAAUUUGCUAAGACCUAUUGAAUAUUUCAAAUAAAAGAUCAAAAGGACACCAUAUUCACAGCACAUUAGGCUCAUAGCAGAGUCACUCGAUGCGUGCUUAUUUUUUUUUUCUUUCCUUUUGCAGAAAGCAUGCUCGCUUUUAAAUGAUCACUGUAUCACUGGGCUUUGGAUGUACAUCAUUCACAUUAUAUAGUGUAUCGGAAAAUAAAGUUUCUCUUCCGACACAUUUGUUCUCAGAAAUGGAGACUGUCCACUUAUUGUAGAUGGACAAAGGGGCUGAAUCACAGAAGGGUAUAAUUUCUAAGGAGAGAGCACUUCGCCACAGAGUAGGAGGAAGGGUAGAAAAUGUUUUCAUAAAAAGCGACUAUUAGGGACAAAUAAGGGCUCUAUUCACCAAACCUGUACAUAUCCCUUUAUCCUUGUAAAACAAGCUAUGAAAGCACAUAAUGACUAACUGCGGCAAAAUUACUCACAUCCUAACUUUGCAUAAUCGCUAAAAUGGUUCUGGUUUUUUAACCCUCCUCCUUCAACAAUUCUGCACUCUUAAAAAAAAGUUUUUUUUUUCAACCACAGCACAAAUGGUUAUAGCAAACGAGUGUACCAGGCACAUCUGCUGUUCCAGAAAGAAUCCACUCUCCUGUGCCAAAUCCACGUCUAUCGGAAGAAAUAAAAAUAAAUUGCGAGCAGGUUCAGCAAAUGCCCAGAUAAAUCCUGCAAUGACCACAUGGAGUAGAUGCAUUUCUGGUAGCUGGUGAUGCCUGAAAAGGGUGAGGCAACAGAGGAGCAAUCUGGAAGCAAAGGUUGCUCGCCCAUCAGUCUUUGUCACUCCCUCCCGGAGCGCGGAGCGGAGACAGCCACCGCCAACUGGAAAUCUGAGCAUGGCUUGUGGGAGAGAUCACCAUGACUUUGGCCCUGGUACCUGGUGACUGAGCUCUAUGGAACAGCAAAGAGAUGGUGACUAGGCCAAGAGCAAGGUAUCCACACCACUUCUGAUACCCUUUAUCAGCUGAGAUGCAAAUGGCUAACAGAGCUCAAUCGUUCUGGACAAUCUCUUCUUCCAGAAGAACCUCCUUCCGAUGGUAAAAUGAAGAGUAAUUUUAUCCUGUUGUUGUUGUUGUUUGUUUUUGUUUUUAGAAUUGCAAAAUAUGAAACAAUAAGAAAUUCCAGGACAAACAUUCUCAGGGACCCAAUUUCCCAAUUUUAAUUUGGGCCAAGGUCUGAAAGUCCUGGGCCAAACAAAUGUGCUUCUGUUGGUCUCAAUUUCCUCUUUAUAAGCAAGGGGAUAUGACUGGGAAUUUUUAAACAUCCCUGGUAGCAGGGCUGACUGGGUGGCUCAGUUGGUUAAGUGUCCAACUUCGGCUCAGGUUACAGUCUCAUGGUUCCUGAGUUCAAGCCCCAAGUCAGACUCUGUACUGACAGCUCGGAGACUGGAACUUGCUUCAGAUUCUGUGUCUGCCAUUCUCUCUGUCUCUCUCCCUCUUGCACUCUCUCUCUGUCACUCUCUCAAAAAUAAAUAAACAUUAAAAAAAUUAAAAAAAAACCCACAUUUCUGGUAGCUUAAAACAUCUAAGAAACACCUUUGAUUUCAGACAAAGUCUGAUACCCGAGGUCCUUUGGAAUGGUAUAUAAACUAAGAUCCUUCUCAUUCUGACACUAUUUUCGAUUCAUUUUUGUUAAUCUCAAGAUCUAUAUAUGCUGCAGAAUGUUAUUUAUGUUAUAUCUGGUAUUUACAUAAAAAUAACAGGUUAUAAACUUUUACAUAUAGCAUGAUUAAAAUCCAAUAUCUAAUUGAGAAAAAAAACCUGAAUUGCUAUAGUUAUUAGAAAUAUAGAUAUUUUGCUCUUUUUUCUUCCUUCAUUUUAUGAAAGCAUUAUAUUUGCAUUUAAAAUGAAAUAGCUUUAUUUACAGAGAAAAACAAUGAUAUCUCCAAACAUCUUUUCCUUUCAAAGAACACACUGCAUCAUCCCAAACCACCCUAAAGCAAAGAAAUAUGAUAUCAGUUGCCUUACAUACAUGACUUUGGAAUUUCUUUUUGAAAAAUGGUGUCAUUCAUGGAGUCAUUGACCAUUAACUGACCACCUUCUAAAUACCAGAAAUUUUGCCAACUUCUUGGGUAACAAGUUAUGGUUCCUAGCCUCAAUGAAUUCAACUAUACUUGGGUGAAACAGGAAGAAAACCAGUGGAAACUUCUCAGAUUCCCAGAAGUCUGACAAACUCUACUUGGAAUAUAGUGUUCUACAGCAACCCAUUCAUUUUUUUAAACAUAGAACUGAGUUCCAGCCAGACAAAGAACACUGGUUUGAAAAGGUCUAGAAGCAGGGUUCCCCUCUCUGCUCUAACUACUGGAUGACAUUACGUAAGCUCCUGUCUUUUCUGUUGCUCAGCUCCUUCACCUUCAAGGUGCUGGCUAAAAAGGCUUUUUUUACAUUUCCCACGGGCAGCUGAAUUCAAACAUCUUCCUCUGGCCUGCUAUUUCCUAUCUCCCUUGUAUCUCAGAUGAAUGUCAUCACCUAGGUAAUUCUUGUUGCACUCUCAAGUUAGAGAACUGUUGUUCUAAACUACAUAAACUCAAGAACAGGAACCAUGUUCUAAUAUUCAUUAUUCAUCCUUUCAUUUAGAAUAUGGUAGCACAAAGAUUAAGCUACAAUAGGCUAUCAAAACAUCAUUGAGGAAUGAAUGCAUUAAUGAAUGACUAUAUUCAAGUAUGAGGUUAUCCCCCAUUUCCUUAAUUUUCUUUAUUUAGUCUCUGCCUGUGUGAGCCCUUGUGGAUUCUGGGAUGAUUGGCAUUAUAGAAAUAUAAAGAACAUGAUAAGCAGCUUCAACAAUAUCAUUAUUUGGUGAGAAUGGAGGAAAUCGCAUUUAAAAAAAAUGAAAAAACAAAACAAAACAAAACAAAACACCAAUGAUCUCAGGCAUCAAAGGUGCAAUCUAUGGGGCUAGUCAUUUUAUUUCUAGAUUUCUUCACUCAAUACCCUCAGCAGUUAAAAAACAAGACAAAACAAAAAGGCAGCAAAACGUACAAUUUCCCAGGGGCACCAUUCAUAGAUGGUACACAACAGAACUACUCAAGAAGAUAUUUUACUAUUAUAAA